AUUUAGAAAUUAAACGACAUUACUGGUAAAAUUAUAUGGGAAAAUGGAUAUGAUGCUACAAAACUUCUUAAUAAUAAUACAUGUGUAACAAACAACAAAGGUUGGUCAUGAGCUAGCUACUACCUAAAGAGCUAGAUCAACAUCUAACUACCUCCUAUACUGUAAUUGCUUCUCUUUUCUUUUGUUUUGUCUUCCUUUUUGGGAUGCAAUAAAUACCAACAUGGCCAGUUUGUCAUCCCUGUACACCAGCCAUUAAUGUUUCUAAAAAAAAAAUUAAAAAAAAAUAAUAAUAAACAGAUUCUAUGAUUUUUGGGAGUAGAAUUUUCGUGUUCGUGCAAAAAGCACUAAAGCUAGGCCAGUCCCAAGAAAGCAAAGAGAACCCCAGAUGACGAAGUGCUUCUGUAGCAAGCCAUUCCCAUGCACCUCCCAUCUUCUUGAUUUCCUUCCUUGCGGUAACAUAGCGGACA
RNAcentral lists this long non-coding RNA (467 nucleotides) under Prunus persica (peach). RNAcentral's name for it is "long non-coding RNA (PPER_LNC005622)". Lineage: Eukaryota; Viridiplantae; Streptophyta; Magnoliopsida; Rosales; Rosaceae. The record is from RNAcentral.